Molecule: ribosomal RNA, 427 nt
Filed under: uncultured beta proteobacterium
Lineage: Bacteria; Pseudomonadati; Pseudomonadota; Betaproteobacteria
Description: bacterial SSU rRNA
Rfam family: Bacterial small subunit ribosomal RNA
Source: RNAcentral
UGGGGAAUUUUGGACAAUGGGCGAAAGCCUGAUCCAGCCAUGCCGCGUGAGUGAAGAAGGCCUUCGGGUUGUAAAGCUCUUUUAGUCGGAAAGAAAGAGUCGCAAUGAAUAAUUGUGAUUUAUGACGGUACCGACAGAAAAAGCACCGGCUAACUACGUGCCAGCAGCCGCGGUAAUACGUAGGGUGCGAGCGUUAAUCGGAAUUACUGGGCGUAAAGGGUGCGCAGGCGGUUUUGUAAGUCAGAUGUGAAAUCCCCGGGCUUAACCUGGGAAUUGCGUUUGAAACUGCAAGACUAGAGUGCAGCAGAGGGGAGUGGAAUUCCAUGUGUAGCAGUGAAAUGCGUAGAGAUGUGGAAGAACACCGAUGGCGAAGGCAGCUCCCUGGGUUGACACUGACGCUCAUGCACGAAAGCGUGGGGGGCAAACA